GCGCUGUGGCUUAGUUGUUCAAAGUGGCUGUCUUGUAAACAGGAGACCCUGGAAUCAAGUCCCAGCAAACGUG
Danio rerio (zebrafish) is the source of this 73-nucleotide non-coding RNA. Lineage: Eukaryota; Metazoa; Chordata; Actinopteri; Cypriniformes; Danionidae. The record is from Rfam.